UGGGGAAUAUUGCACAAUGGGCGCAAGCCUGAUGCAGCCAUGCCGCGUGUAUGAAGAAGGCCUUCGGGUUGUAAAGUACUUUCAGCAGGGAGGAAGGGAGUAAAGUUAAUACCUUUGCUCAUUGACGUUACCCGCAGAAGAAGCACCGGCUAACUCCGUGCCAGCAGCCGCGGUAAUACGGAGGGUGCAAGCGUUAAUCGGAAUUACUGGGCGUAAAGCGCACGCAGGCGGUCUGUCAAGUCGGAUGUGAAAUCCCCGGGCUCAACCUGGGAACUGCAUUCGAAACUGGCAGGCUAGAGUCUUGUAGAGGGGGGUAGAAUUCCAGGUGUAGCGGUGAAAUGCGUAGAGAUCUGGAGGAAUACCGGUGGCGAAGGCGGCCCCCUGGACAAAGACUGACGCUCAGGUGCGAAAGCGUGGGGAGCAAACAGG
RNAcentral lists this ribosomal RNA (429 nucleotides) under Chloroflexota bacterium. RNAcentral describes it as "Chloroflexi bacterium partial 16S ribosomal RNA". It matches the Rfam family "Bacterial small subunit ribosomal RNA", at positions 355 to 776 of the family's 1533-position model. Lineage: Bacteria; Bacillati; Chloroflexota. The record is from RNAcentral.